ACGGAGUUAGCCGGGGUUCUUUACUGGGUACAGUCAUUAUCUUCCCCAGCGAAAGAGCUUUACGACCCUAGGGCCUUCAUCACUCACGCGGCAUGGCUAGAUCAGGGUUGCCCCCAUUGUCUAAGAUUCCCCA
This 133-nucleotide ribosomal RNA is filed under the name uncultured bacterium. Its description in RNAcentral is "partial 16S ribosomal RNA". The record is from RNAcentral.